This 263-nucleotide ribosomal RNA is filed under the name uncultured Pseudomonas sp. Its description in RNAcentral is "partial 16S ribosomal RNA". It matches the Rfam family "Bacterial small subunit ribosomal RNA", at positions 1120 to 1382 of the family's 1533-position model. The record is from RNAcentral. Lineage: Bacteria; Pseudomonadati; Pseudomonadota; Gammaproteobacteria; Pseudomonadales; Pseudomonadaceae.
AGCAGUUCGGCGUGGGCACUCUAAGGAGACUGCCGGUGACAAACCGGAGGAAGGUGGGGAUGACGUCAAGUCAUCAUGGCCCUUACGGCCUGGGCUACACACGUGCUACAAUGGUCGGUACAAAGGGUUGCCAAGCCGCGAGGUGGAGCUAAUCCCAUAAAACCGAUCGUAGUCCGGAUCGCAGUCUGCAACUCGACUGCGUGAAGUCGGAAUCGCUAGUAAUCGUGAAUCAGAAUGUCACGGUGAAUACGUUCCCGGGCCUU